GCCCGCGGCCUAUCAGCUUGUUGGUGGGGUAGAUGGCUCUACCAUGGCUUCGACGGGUAGCCGGCCUGAGAGGGUGACCGGCCACACUGGGACUGAGACACGGCCCAGACUCCUACGGGAGGCAGCAGUGGGGAAUAUUGCACAAUGGGCGGAAGCCUGAUCCAGCAACGCCGCGUGAGGGAUGACGGCCUUCGGGUUGUAAACCUCUUUCAGCAGGGACGAAGCGCAAGUGACGGUACCUGCAGAAGAAGCACCGGCCAACUACGUGCCAGCAGCCGCGGUAAUACGUAGGGUGCGAGCGUUGUCCGGAAUUAUUGGGCGUAAAGAGCUCGUAGGCGGUUUGUCGCGUCGGUCGUGAAACCUGGGGCUUAACCCUGAGCUUGCUUUCGAUACGGGC
This 397-nucleotide ribosomal RNA is filed under the name uncultured actinomycete. RNAcentral describes it as "bacterial SSU rRNA". It matches the Rfam family "Bacterial small subunit ribosomal RNA", at positions 229 to 637 of the family's 1533-position model. Lineage: Bacteria; Bacillati; Actinomycetota; Actinomycetes; Actinomycetales. The record is from RNAcentral.